GACGAACGCUGGCGGCGUGCUUAACACAUGCAAGUCGAACGGAAAGGCCCUGCUUUUGUGGGGUGCUCGAGUGGCGAACGGGUGAGUAACACGUGAGUAACCUGCCCUUGACUUUGGGAUAACUUCAGGAAACUGGGGCUAAUACCGGAUAGGAGCUCCUGCUGCAUGGUGGGGGUUGGAAAGUUUCGGCGGUUGGGGAUGGACUCGCGGCUUAUCAGCUUGUUGGUGGGGUAGUGGCUUACCAAGGCUUUGACGGGUAGCCGGCCUGAGAGGGUGACCGGCGACAUGGGGACUGAGAUACGGCCCAGACUCCUACGGGAGGCAGCAGUGGGGAAUAUGGCACAAUGGGCGGAAGCCUGAUGCAGCAACGCCGCGUGCGGGAUGACGGCCUUCGGGGUGUAAACCGCUUUCGCCUGUGACGAAGCGUGAGUGACGGUAAUGGGUAAAGAAGCACCGGCUAACUACGUG
This 468-nucleotide ribosomal RNA is filed under the name uncultured bacterium. RNAcentral's name for it is "partial 16S ribosomal RNA". It matches the Rfam family "Bacterial small subunit ribosomal RNA", at positions 28 to 507 of the family's 1533-position model. The record is from RNAcentral.